CGGGCCAUGGGUUGAUACCUCCUUACCAAAAGCCUGAUGUAGGUAAUGUGCAGUGUCCACAACAUAUUGUCUGAUGAAAAAUAAGGAGAAAGCCCUCCUGAUGAUUGUAGGUGUGGUGGGUUCAUGGUGACCCCGAUAAAUGAGAGGGGAGGGUUACUCGGAUUCUCUGGCCCCCCACAAACUUUUCCCCGCUGUGUUCCCUUUCCCACUUAUACUCUAGUAUCCAAUCCACUUGAACACGUCAUGCUUAUAUGAGUGAAUCUUUGAUCGAGGUAAUCUUGGUUAUGACUUUUGUGACUCUUGGGUUAUAAUUCAUCUGGAACAGUGCCUGAUUUGCUGAAAUAUGAUAUGCGGUGCUAAAACGCAUUUCUCCGUGCUAUACUGACUUGUGAUUUGAUUAUAUCAGAGUCUCUCAAAUAAUCUUGCGCGAAAGGGACUGCGCCCCGCCUCGUUUUAAACCUAAGCCAUAUACAUAUAUCUCUCCGUACUUUCUAACUGUUUCGGUUGUGCCACAGUCUCUCUUUCCUCGCACCCUCAAGUUCCUUGAUGUC
RNAcentral lists this unclassified non-coding RNA (551 nucleotides) under Rahnella sp. 3 JD-2014. RNAcentral's name for it is "partial may contain 16S ribosomal RNA, 16S-23S ribosomal RNA intergenic spacer, and 23S ribosomal RNA". The record is from RNAcentral. Lineage: Bacteria; Pseudomonadati; Pseudomonadota; Gammaproteobacteria; Enterobacterales; Yersiniaceae.